This 69-nucleotide transfer RNA is filed under the name Ictidomys tridecemlineatus (thirteen-lined ground squirrel). RNAcentral describes it as "Spermophilus tridecemlineatus (thirteen-lined ground squirrel) tRNA". It matches the Rfam family "tRNA". Rfam says of the family: Transfer RNA (tRNA) molecules are approximately 80 nucleotides in length. Their secondary structure includes four short double-helical elements and three loops (D, anti-codon, and T loops). Lineage: Eukaryota; Metazoa; Chordata; Mammalia; Rodentia; Sciuridae. The record is from Rfam by way of RNAcentral.
GGGGUUGUAGCUCAGAGGCAGAGCGCUUGCCUAGCACAUGCAAGGCCCUGGGUUCGAUUCUCAGCACCA